UAAAAAUUUAUGAUUUUAAAGAUUUAUUUUUAAUUUAUUUUAUAUGCAAAUUUUAGUGUUAAUUUUUAAUUAUUUUAAUAAUAAUUUAAAUUUUGUAGUAAAUAAUAUUAAAAAUUUAAGAAAUUAAGAUUUAGUAAUAUUAAAAUUAAUAACAAAUUUUGUGCCAGCAGUUGCGGUUAAACAAAAAUUAAAAUAAAUUUUUUUAGUUUGUAAUAAAUAAUUAUUAAAAAAAUUAAAUAUUAAAUUAUUAAGUAAAAUUUUAAUUUAAUUAAAAUUUAUAUUUUAUUAUGAUUUAAUAAAUUUAUAAAUAAACUAGGAUUAGAUACCCUAUUAUUAAAAAUUUAAUUUAUAAUACUAAAAUAGUAAAUAUAUUUAAUUAUUGAAACUUAAGUAAUUUGGCGGUAUUUUAGUUCAUUUAGAGGAAUCUGUUUAAUAAUUGAUAAUCCACGAUUAAAUUUACUUAAUUUUUUAUUUUGUAUAUCGUUGUUAAAAAAAUAUUUUUAAAUAAAAAUAAUAUUUAAAAAUUAUUAAUAUAAAUUAGUUCAGAUCAAGAUGCAGAUUAUAAUUAAGAAUAUAAUGGAUUACAAAAAAUUUAUUUAAAUGGAUGAUAUUUUGUAAUAAUUAUUUGAAAGUGGAUUUAAAUGUAAUUUUAUUUAAUUUAAUAAAAUGAUUAAAAAUUAAAAUAUGUACAUAUUGCCCGUCGCUUUCAUUUAAAAAUUGGAAUAAGUCGUAACAAAGUAGAGGUACUGGAAAGUGUUUCUAGAAAGAC
This 769-nucleotide non-coding RNA is filed under the name Malaza carmides. Lineage: Eukaryota; Metazoa; Arthropoda; Insecta; Lepidoptera; Hesperiidae. The record is from RNAcentral.